AAUGGCUUUACUGGGAGCACCCCUCUUCCUCCACCCUCCUCUUCCUUGCAAUCCCCAGCUUUCCCCGGAGUGGGGUGGGGUGGAGGGGGUGGACUUAAUGAAACCAAAUGGAAACAUUCCAUUUGUAACAACAAAUAUUUUCCACCAGGACUUUUCUUACACUUAAAUGAACGACCUUGGAAUCCCUGGAAAUGGCUGUAGAGGAGGAGGCGGGGUUUCCCUUCUAGGAGUUUUGAAUUUUGCAGAAAGAUGGGCCCCUAGAGGCUGCCCAUGUGCUCCCUUAGCCCCGGCUGCCCCUUCAGGUGAGUCCCACCUACUGCCCCAUCUGCCUCAUCUCCCCUGUACCCAUACCUCUUGGCUCUGUGGGCCAGACCUCAUCCCUCGGAAACCUCCAGGGGAGAACAAAGGGCUCCUCCAACUCUGGCCAGGAAAGUCAGGAAAGGAUGCAUCUGUCUACCUUUGGAGCCCUCGAUUCAAAGACCCACCUGCCUGGAAGGGGCUGGAGAGGUGUGGAGAUGGGAGUUCCAAGUGCCAAGGGUCACCCGGUGCGGAGGCCUGAAUAAUAUUCCAUUUUAUGGAUUUACCACAUUUUGUUGAUCUGUUCACCUGUUGGGGACACUCGGGUCGCUUCCACCUUUUGGCUGUUGUGAACGAUGCUGCCGAGAACAUGACUUCUAGAAGCCACCUGUGUUCUUUGACCCAUGGCCCCCUUUCAAUGUCAAGGCCAGCGACGCCCUGGAGUCUGACGCCACUCCUGCUGUCUUGCCUCCCUUUCCACACUGAAUAGAGCCUUGUGAUGACACUGGGCCCACCCAGAUAACCCAGGAUCGUCUCUCAUCUCAAGAUCCCUACUUUACUCACCUCUGCAAAAUCCCUUUGGCCAUGGAAGGCUGCUGCGUGGUCUCUGGCGUGAGUCAGGCAACCAGGUUGGCUACCACGACAAGAUGCAAAAUAACAGUGACGUAGACAUGGGGAGAUUUUAGUCGUUGCUCAACAAAUACAGUCUCUUCCUCACCAACGUGUAAGUUCCAGAGGUCAAGGAUGGUGCCUGCGUGGAAUCCCUGUGUGUCCCAGGAACACGCACCUGGUCAAUGAAUAAAUGAAUGAGCCAUGCAUGCUUGCAGGUGUUUGUGGAGUGUUUGUUACUGGGCACACUUGUUGCUGGGAUACACAGCUGAGCAAAACACAACCGGAUCCUCCUGCACAUUGCUUACAGGGAGACAAACUUUGCUCAUAUAAUCACUCCUGAACAAGCAGAAUCCAGUACACAGGUGGGCCCUGUGGAAGCACCGUCAAGGCCUUGCUGCAUGCCCUGUUAGGAGGAAGGCCCUGCCACCCCACACUGCCCCAAAGGAACACUUCCGGGAUAGUGCAAGCAUUCCUGGGAUCUUCCUGGGCCCACGGCGCUGGGACCCUGCCCCAGACUCCACUGCUCACAUUGUCACGAGCCGCAGCCCUCUCUGUGUGCCCACAACACCGGUUCUCAACUGGGCACAGCUCCUUCUCCUGGCUUUGCCUGGGCUGUGCUUUACACCUGAAGUGGAACCCCUGCCCUUCCAUCCUGCUCUCCUUCGAGGCCUGCAGAUGCCAUGUCCUCCACACCUGAGGAUUCUGGAGGCCGGCAGGGCUUCUGGACAAAUCUGAGCACUUGCACUCUGGAGGCCCUGCCACAGUGGCUACUGCCCACCACGGACGAUUCUGUAGACCCUGCUUAGAAGAGACUGGCCAUCCAGAACAGCUCUGCUCCCACCCGGAGACUCAAGACUCCGCUCAGGAGUUCAGACUGUCUGGCAGCAGCUGUGGACUGCAGGGGUGAUGGCCGUGGCUGGCACCUGAGGCUGCAGCUCUCAAGACCUUGGUCCGAAGGAUGGGGGCUUCCACUCCCAACUGUGAGCUCACUUGCUGGGAAACUUGCCACACCCAGUGUCUGGACAUCAGAUGAACUUGCAGCCUCUUCCUUCCUUUCCCUUUCCGGUAUUUUAUUGGUGGAGGGCCAUGGGCAUCAGACAUGUGGGUUUUGGGGAGGGAGGUAACGGCAGAGUGGGGUUGGUGAGUAUCAGCCCCUCCUGCGAGCUGUGGGUGCUGCUGUGUGUUAGACAUCCCUGCUAGCUCCCUGUCCCACAUGAGCCCCCGGGUCCUCACUGGGCACUGGCCUCAUUCUCUUCUGGGAUCUCCCAGGCCCUGCACACAGUAAGUGGGCAGCACACAGUCACGAUGGCCACUUUUAACCCCACCGCCUUGAUCAAGACCUGGAGAGCUGGGGCAUCAGAGCGGGGGUCGACAGACUCGGAGGCCAACUGGCCUGGGGUUGAGCUAUUGUUGCCGACAUGGAACCCGAUCCAGUGAUUAAUGGGUCCAGGAAAUGAUCCCUAGCUCAGCUGGCCAGUCCGGGCAGCCUGGCAGCACGGGCCCACGCG
RNAcentral lists this long non-coding RNA (2417 nucleotides) under Homo sapiens (human). RNAcentral describes it as "HSALNT0379369". The record is from RNAcentral. Lineage: Eukaryota; Metazoa; Chordata; Mammalia; Primates; Hominidae.